This 73-nucleotide transfer RNA is filed under the name Flavobacterium sp. Root901. RNAcentral describes it as "tRNA-Ile". It matches the Rfam family "tRNA". Rfam says of the family: Transfer RNA (tRNA) molecules are approximately 80 nucleotides in length. The record is from RNAcentral. Lineage: Bacteria; Pseudomonadati; Bacteroidota; Flavobacteriia; Flavobacteriales; Flavobacteriaceae.
GAUUUUGUAGCUCAACUGGCAGAGCAAUUGGAUUAUACCCAAUAGGCUGAAGGUUCGAUUCCUUCCAAAAUCA